CCCCUCAGAGAGCAGCCCUGUCCUGGCCCCUCCACCUCCAUCCAGCCUGCCCGCUCCAGUGCAGUUUGUCUUACAACCAUGGAGUCCCUACCGGGGGUGCUCCCUUCGGUCGGUCCCAAGAGCAAUGAAGUCUCAUUUCUGCCCCUUGCUGUGUAAGUUACCCAGGUGCUGGAGGCAGUGCAUAAGGUUCUCUGUGCAUGAUACAGUGACACACGACUGGCUCACAUGGGUCAGACACAACUCACCUGAGGGUCCCAGCACAGAGCCAGAGAUGCUCAACAGGCACGAUUCUGCAGUCCCUUUCCUCCUCAAUUAGCUGCAGGCCAUGUGAAGAUGGACAUGCAGGAUGAAGGCCAUGUGGCUACAGAGACAGAGAUUGGAAUGAUGUGUUUACGAGGCCAGGACCACUGCAAUUGCUGGCCAUCAGCGGAAGCCAAGAGAAGGCAGGAAGGAUUUUCCCCAGGAGUCUUCAGAGAGCCUGGUCCUGCUGAUGCCUUGAUUUCAGACUCUGGCUCCCAGAACUGUGAGAGAAUAAACUCCUGUUGUUUCAGGUCACCCAGUUUGUGGCAAUUUGUUACAGCAGCCCCUGGACUAACACAGGCCUGGAAACACCCAUGAACACCCACCACGAACUUGGCCUGAAUGUUAGGAAACACAUUGCAACGUUACUUCUCUGCUUGUUUUAUAAUGAUUAUUUCCAGUCUCUUGUUCAGUCUCUUGUAGAUAAAUUUGAGACCCUUCAAUGAGAACUGGGACUUGUCAGCUCCAGCUUUUUCCUGCCCUUUCUCUGCCACACCUGACUGGUCAAAUUGACAAGGUCCCCC
RNAcentral lists this long non-coding RNA (824 nucleotides) under Equus asinus (donkey). Its description in RNAcentral is "lncRNA (ENSEASG00005029750.1)". Lineage: Eukaryota; Metazoa; Chordata; Mammalia; Perissodactyla; Equidae. The record is from RNAcentral.